This is a long non-coding RNA of Solanum dulcamara, 2135 nucleotides long. RefSeq lists it as uncharacterized. The record is from RefSeq and is a predicted model, not a curated record. Lineage: Eukaryota; Viridiplantae; Streptophyta; Magnoliopsida; Solanales; Solanaceae. The transcript is spliced from 3 exons.
UAGUAUAGAAGUUUGAUAAAUUUCAGUUGAACUUUUUGGUUUGAUAAGUUUGACCAGCAGAGACAGUAAAUUCAUAAACUGGUCUUCCUUUUUGUCAGAAAUUAUUUCAGCUCUAUUGUGAUUUACCAAAGCAUUUAACUUUUGGUUAAUAUUUAGUACUAUAGAUAACAACUUCUUAGUCAUAACCCAAAUAUUUGUAUUACUUAAAUUCUUGCAUGCAUGUUAGCGAUCGAUUUCGAUUCCUACAAUAAUUAUGUUUUUGUAAUGAAUUUUUAUAUCUAUUACCAUAAAGGAACCUAUCUUUCUUCCAGGUAUUAAUGAGAGGAACAAAAUUAAUGGCAAACCUCUAAGCACAAGUGAGGUAGAAAUGAAAGCAACAAUUGUUAUAUCUAAAUCUUUAAGCACAAGGUUGAAACUCGAGUCAUCCUCACCCAAAAAAGAAGAAGUAACAAGCGAGUCUUCGAGUUCAUUUCAUGACUUAUGAAUUGAUAAGCUUGAAAUAUAAUGUAACUUAGAUUUUCUUAUUUCAUCGCAAUUAUGGCCAUCUUAAUGUUGUCCAAUCGCAUGAAAUAUCUUUUUUAUUUUGAUAUUUUUGGUUGCUGAAAAAGAAAACAUUUUUAAAUUUUCAGAUGAAUGGUGCAUUCUCUCUCCAUAUGGGAUUGAUCAUUAGGAACUAUAGACGAUGAACUAGUGAGGAUGGUAUGUUGGUUAUUUAAGUUUUUUUACUAUCUUAGUGCUGCAGAUUUACAGGUAAGUUAAUAUGCCACUUUCUGUUAGGUUACUUGAAAUAACUUUGUCUUUAACCACAUGUGAUAAAUUGAUUUUUGUAGAUAUUUACAUCAGUUUAGAUUUUACGAUUCAUCUCAUUUUGAUUUUGUGAUUUUUUUUUAACCCUUUGCCAUGUGAAUUUCAAUAUCCAUUUGCAUAUGAGAACUAAACCAAGUGAGCAUGUUUAUUGUUAGUAUAGAACCCACGUUCUACCGUUAGCACUCAUGAAUUUGGUAAAAGAACUGCUGAAAAAAGGCUUAUAUUUUUAGAUUAGUGUCUCCAUUUUGGGUCUUAAAAAAAGAGAGGGAAAAACCAGUAGAAACGUUAGGUGAAUUGUCAAAUUUCUGAUCUUUGAAAAAUCUUAUAAUUCAUCUAUUUAAGGACUCCUUAAUAAGUUUCUCCUUUUUUUUUAUAAAUCUAUUCAAAAAUGUUUUGGCAAAGAGACAUCCCACAUGCACUAGACUUUCUUAGAAAAGGGAGAAACUUGAUGUUUGUGGAAACUGAGAUGGGUACUUGGGGCAAAACUAGUAGACUAGGUGAUGUUGUUGGUGGACUACCACCAGCCCUGGCAAUAAGUAUCAAUCUUUGGUUUGAUUUUUAUUAUAUUUUCCGUAUUCAUUUUUUUUUUGUUUAGGCCCGUGGACAUCGAGUAAUGACAGUAUCUCAUUGAUAUUGAUUGUUCAUUUGAUCUUCACAUUGUGACUGCUCUCUUCACUGAGAAAUAUGGAGAAGAUCUAAAAUAGCUAGCAUCAAGAAUGACACAUUAGUUUACUUUACCUGAAUAACAAAAAAGAAUGGUACUUUUAGUUUACUUUACUUGAUAACAAACCAAACAACUGAGACACCAACACACUUCCUACUAAUUUCUGAUUUUUCAUUCACCUAAAGUUGUCUAAAAAUAUGCAUUCUCUGUUAAAUUUUCCCCGAAAAUGCAUCUUCUGUUUUAUAAUGCUCUACUUUUAUUUUUGCAGCCCUUUUAAUUUCAAGUUAAUUCAGCUGAUUGAUUUUGAGUGUUUUACUAGCUUUUUGAAGGUUACGACGAGGUUACAUCCAAACAUCGUAACGAUCUAGCAAUGAUGGAUAAGCUACGUGAGGAAUUGAAGUCGAAAGCUCCAAUUAAACAUGCACCCAAAGAACUAGACAACAAGAUUGAAGGGGUUACAACACACCCUAAUCUCCCAAAGGGAAUGAAGUACGUCAUCAAGAAGAUUAUAACAUUUUUUUUGUAAUAGUAAACAUUUUAGAUGUAUCUGUUGUUUUAAUGUAUCUAAUACAUUAACUGUAAUGUAUUAGAAUCAAUAAGCAAUUGAAAUGUAAUAAUCUUUCCAUAUAUCAAUUGAAAAAAUGUAUGUUUUUCUCAUCUGUCA